Molecule: ribosomal RNA, 377 nt
Filed under: uncultured organism
Description: partial 16S ribosomal RNA
Rfam family: Bacterial small subunit ribosomal RNA
Source: RNAcentral
GUAGGUGGCAAGCGUUGUCCGGGAAUUAUUGGGCGUAAAGCGCGCGCAGGCGGUUCUUUAAGGUCUGGAUGUGAAAGCCCACGGCUCAACCGUGGAGGGUCAUUGGAAACUGGAGAACUUGAGUACAGAAGAGGAAAGCGGAAUUCCACGUGUAGCGGUGAAAUGCGUAGAGAUGUGGAGGAACACCAGUGGCGAAGGCGGCUUUCUGGUCUGUAACUGACGCUGAGGCGCGAAAGCGUGGGGAGCAAACAGGAUUAGAUACCCUGGUAGUCCACGCCCGUAAACGAUGAGUGCUAAGUGUUAGGGGGUUUCCGCCCCCUUAGUGCUGCAGCUAACGCAUUAAGCACUCCGCCUGGGGAGUACGGCCGCAAAGGCUG